Molecule: ribosomal RNA, 445 nt
Filed under: uncultured bacterium
Lineage: Bacteria
Description: partial 16S ribosomal RNA
Rfam family: Bacterial small subunit ribosomal RNA
Source: RNAcentral
CCUACGGGUGGCAGCAGUCGAGAAUCAUUCACAAUGGGGGAAACCCUGAUGGUGCGACGCCGCGUGGGGGAAUGAAGGUCUUCGGUUUGUAAACCCCUGUCAUGUGGGAGCAAAUUAAAAAGAUAGUCCCACAAGAGGAAUAGACGGCUAACUCUGUUCCAGCAGCCGCGGUAUUACAGAGGUCUCAAGCGUUGUUCGGAAUCACUGGUCGAAAGGCGUUCGUAGGCUGUUUCGUAAGUCGUGGGUGAAAGGCGGGGGUGCAACACGCGGACGGCACAUAAUACUGCGAGACUAGGGUAAUGGAGGGGGAACCGGAAUGCUGGGUGUAGGAGGGAAAGGCGUAGAUAUCGAGAGGAACACUCGUGGCGAGGGCGGGUUCCUGGACAUAAACGGACGCGGAGGAACGAAGGCUAGGGGAGAGAAAGGGAUAAGAUACCCGGGUAGU